GAUGAACGCUGGCGGCGUGCUUAACACAUGCAAGUCGAACGAAGCAUUUGCGACAGAUUUUUUCGGAAUGAAGUUGCUUAUGACUGAGUGGCGGACGGGUGAGUAACGCGUGGGUAACCUGCCUUGUACUGGGGGAUAGCAGCUGGAAACGGCUGGUAAUACCGCAUAAGCGCACAAUGUUGCAUGACAUGGUGUGAAAAACUCCGGUGGUAUAAGAUGGACCCGCGUCUGAUUAGCUAGUUGGUGAGAUAACAGCCCACCAAGGCGACGAUCAGUAGCCGACCUGAGAGGGGGACCGGCCACAUUGGGACUGAGACACGGCCCAGACUCCUACGGGAGGCAGAAGUGGGGAAUAUUGCACAAUGGAGGAAGCUCUGAUGCAGCGACGCCGCGUGAGUGAAGAAGUAAUUCGUUAUGUAAAGCUCUAUCAGCAGGGAAGAUAGUGACGGUACCUGACUAAGAAGCGCCGGCUAAAUACGUG
Molecule: ribosomal RNA, 481 nt
Filed under: uncultured bacterium
Lineage: Bacteria
Description: partial 16S ribosomal RNA
Rfam family: Bacterial small subunit ribosomal RNA
Source: RNAcentral